GCGGGAAUGGCGAAAUUGGUAGACGCACCAGAUUUAGGUUCUGGCGCCUUGUGUGUGAGAGUUCGAGUCUCUCUUCCCGCACCA
RNAcentral lists this transfer RNA (84 nucleotides) under Ruminobacter amylophilus. RNAcentral's name for it is "tRNA_Leu_TAG". It matches the Rfam family "tRNA". Rfam says of the family: Transfer RNA (tRNA) molecules are approximately 80 nucleotides in length. Their secondary structure includes four short double-helical elements and three loops (D, anti-codon, and T loops). The record is from RNAcentral. RNAcentral also lists the same sequence under 2 other names. Lineage: Bacteria; Pseudomonadati; Pseudomonadota; Gammaproteobacteria; Aeromonadales; Succinivibrionaceae.